This 305-nucleotide ribosomal RNA is filed under the name uncultured bacterium. Its description in RNAcentral is "bacterial SSU rRNA". It matches the Rfam family "Bacterial small subunit ribosomal RNA", at positions 337 to 635 of the family's 1533-position model. The record is from RNAcentral.
UCCUACGGGACGCAGCAGUAGGGAAUUUUCGUCAAUGGGCGCAAGCCUGAACGAGCAAUGCCGCGUGAACGAGGAAGGUCUUCGGAUCGUAAAGUUCUGUUGAAGGGGAAAAAGAGCGGAGAGAGGAAAUGGUCUCCGAUUGAUAUUACCCUUCGAGGAAGUCACGGCUAACUACGUGCCAGCAGCCGCGGUAAUACGUAGGUGGCGAGCGUUAUCCGGAAUGAUUGGGCGUAAAGGGUGCGUAGGCGGCCUGCUAAGUCUGGAGUGACAUGUACCGGCUCAACCGGUACAGAUUCUGGAAACUG